UACAGAGGGGGCAAGCGUUGUUCGGAAUUACUGGGCGUAAAGGGCGCGUAGGCGGCCUUCUAAGUCAGACGUGAAAUCCCUCGGCUCAACCGGGGAACUGCGUCUGAGACUGGAAGGCCUGAAUCCGGGAGAGGGAUGUGGAAUUCCAGGUGUAGCGGUGAAAUGCGUAGAUAUCUGGAGGAACACCGGUGGCGAAGGCGGCAUCCUGGACCGGUAUUGACGCUGAGGCGCGAAAGCCAGGGGAGCAAACGGG
RNAcentral lists this ribosomal RNA (253 nucleotides) under uncultured bacterium. Its description in RNAcentral is "partial 16S ribosomal RNA". It matches the Rfam family "Bacterial small subunit ribosomal RNA", at positions 524 to 776 of the family's 1533-position model. The record is from RNAcentral.